GCUGCGAUGCGGCACAGGAAAACCGCUUUCACCGUCUCUGGUACGAGAGGCCACCAUUGAUCGAUCGACCGAAUGUAAAUUAUGGACGAUGUUCCAUGCAGUACAGUAACGCUUGGGCUAAAUGAGGUCCCUGACCCUCCGACAAAUUGCCGCCGGAAAUCAAUAGUCUCGGACGAUGAAUACCCUUAGUGUGCUUCAUUCUAUGGAAAAAGUACAAUGUAUGAAUAAUUGAAAAAGAGAAAUGGAAGUAGUUUUAUGAAAAAUUUAUCAAGAAUUUCACCAUCAUUGUACCAAGUAGUAAAACCGGAGGCCCUAAUAACGGUUCCAUGAAGAGCUGUAGCUUUCUCCCUGCACACGGAGCUACUCUGUGCGAUGACGGAACGAGCAUAGAACUCGCUUGCGUUCUUCUCAAUCCUUGCAGCACUGCUUCGGUGCAGAGGGCUCUCAAGUCCGAACCGCAAUAACCGGUCGCCUUCUCCGCUAGUAGUUCCA
This is a long non-coding RNA of Ooceraea biroi (clonal raider ant), 492 nucleotides long. RefSeq lists it as uncharacterized. Lineage: Eukaryota; Metazoa; Arthropoda; Insecta; Hymenoptera; Formicidae. The record is from RefSeq and is a predicted model, not a curated record.